GAUGAAGAACGUAGCGAAAUGCGAUACUUGGUGUGAAUUGCAGAAUCCCGUGAACCAUCGAGUCUUUGAACGCAAGUUGCGCCUCUAGCCAUUAGGUUGAGGGCACGUCUGCCUGGGCGUCACAUAUCGUUGCCUGAUGCCAGUUUCCUCGCGAUGGGUGACUGUGCAGGGCGAAUGAUGGCUUCCCGUGAGCAUUGUUGCCUCAUGGUUGGUUGAAAAUUGAGUCCUUGGUAGGGAGCGCCGUGAUAGAUGGUGGUUGAGUGACGAACGAGACCCAAUCAUGUGAGACCCCUACCGAAUUUGGCCUUCAUGACCCACAUGCGUCUUUGGAACGCUCAUGACGAGACCUCAGGUCAGGCGGGGCUACCCGCUGAGUUUAAGCAUAUCAAUAAGCGGAGGA
RNAcentral lists this unclassified non-coding RNA (400 nucleotides) under soil metagenome. RNAcentral's name for it is "partial contains 5.8S ribosomal RNA, internal transcribed spacer 2, and large subunit ribosomal RNA". The stretch from base 1 to 122 matches the Rfam family "5.8S ribosomal RNA", at positions 35 to 154 of the family's 154-position model. The record is from RNAcentral.